GAUGAACGCUGGCGGCGUGCCUAAUACAUGCAAGUAGAACGCUGAAGCUUGGUGCUUGCACCGAGCGGAUGAGUUGCGAACGGGUGAGUAACGCGUAGGUAACCUGCCUGGUAGCGGGGGAUAACUAUUGGAAACGAUAGCUAAUACCGCAUGACAACAGUUAUUGCAUGAUAACUGUUUAAAAGGGGCAACUGCUCCACUACCAGAUGGACCUGCGUUGUAUUAGCUAGUUGGUGAGGUAACGGCUCACCAAGGCGACGAUACAUAGCCGACCUGAGAGGGUGAUCGGCCACACUGGGACUGAGACACGGCCCAGACUCCUACGGGGGGCAGCAGUAGGGAAUCUUCGGCAAUGGACGGAAGUCUGACCGAGCAACGCCGCGUGAGUGAAGAAGGUUUUCGGAUCGUAAAGCUCUGUUGUAAGAGAAGAACGAGUGUGAGAGUGGAAAGUUCACACUGUGACGGUAUCUACCAGAAAGG
RNAcentral lists this ribosomal RNA (480 nucleotides) under Streptococcus sp. oral taxon 074. RNAcentral describes it as "bacterial SSU rRNA". It matches the Rfam family "Bacterial small subunit ribosomal RNA", at positions 28 to 491 of the family's 1533-position model. Lineage: Bacteria; Bacillati; Bacillota; Bacilli; Lactobacillales; Streptococcaceae. The record is from RNAcentral.